Molecule: long non-coding RNA, 209 nt
Filed under: Elaeis guineensis (African oil palm)
Lineage: Eukaryota; Viridiplantae; Streptophyta; Magnoliopsida; Arecales; Arecaceae
Description: long non-coding RNA (EGUI_LNC034810)
Source: RNAcentral
CAUGCCAUAUUUGGAUAAGUUUUUCAUUUGAUUUGAAUCCUUAUUAGAUAGGGAUUCAACUUAUCCAAAUCACGUUUAAACCUAACUCCUUGGAUGCCAACAAUAAAAGGAAUUCUCCUUUGUGCAUUGAAUAAGAUUUUUACCAUGGGAGAACAUAUUUAAAAUGUGAAAAAUCUCUAGGAAGAGGUGCAUGGGUUCUUAGUGCAUGA